UGGGGAAUUUUGGACAAUGGGCGAAAGCCUGAUCCAGCAAUGCCGCGUGUGUGAAGAAGGCCUUCGGGUUGUAAAGCACUUUUGUCCGGAAAGAAAUCCUUGGCUCUAAUACAGUCGGGGGAUGACGGUACCGGAAGAAUAAGCACCGGCUAACUACGUGCCAGCAGCCGCGGUAAUACGUAGGGUGCAAGCGUUAAUCGGAAUUACUGGGCGUAAGCGUGCGCAGGCGGUUUGCUAAGACCGAUGUGAAAUCCCCGGGCUCAACCUGGGAACUGCAUUGGUGACUGGGCAGGCUAGAGUAUGGCAGAAGGGGGUAGAAUUCCGCGUGUAGCAGUGAAAUGCGUAGAGAUGUGGAGGAAUACCGAUGGCGAAGGCAGCCCCCCUGGGGCCAAUACUGACGCUCAUGCACGAAAGCGUGGGGGAGCAAAACAGGAUUAGAUACCCCUGGUAGUCCACGCCCUAAACGAUGUCAACUAGUUGUUGGGGAUUCAUUUCCUUAGUAACGUAGCUAACGCGUGAAGUUGACCGCCUGGGGAGUACGGUCGCAAGAUUAAAACUUAAAGGAAUUGACGGGGUCAUAGCUGUUUCC
This 589-nucleotide ribosomal RNA is filed under the name uncultured bacterium. RNAcentral describes it as "partial 16S ribosomal RNA". It matches the Rfam family "Bacterial small subunit ribosomal RNA", at positions 355 to 937 of the family's 1533-position model. The record is from RNAcentral.